GGCUGCCUCAUUUAGUUGGGAUUUCAGAUAAACAACAAAAAAUAUUUUAGUGUAGGUAUGUCCCAUGCAAUAUUUGGGACAAACUUAUACUAAAAAGAGACUUUGGUAUCCCUAUGAGUUGCAUAUACAGCCUUCU
This 136-nucleotide microRNA precursor is filed under the name Mustela putorius furo (domestic ferret). RNAcentral describes it as "miRNA (ENSMPUG00000022948.1)". The stretch from base 44 to 95 matches the Rfam family "mir-1302 microRNA precursor family". The record is from RNAcentral. Lineage: Eukaryota; Metazoa; Chordata; Mammalia; Carnivora; Mustelidae.